Molecule: non-coding RNA, 45 nt
Filed under: Schistosoma haematobium
Lineage: Eukaryota; Metazoa; Platyhelminthes; Trematoda; Strigeidida; Schistosomatidae
Source: RNAcentral
AUCCAGCUGAUGAGUCCCAAAUAGAACGAAACGCGUGUCCUGGAU